This 1906-nucleotide long non-coding RNA is filed under the name Phoenix dactylifera (date palm). Its description in RNAcentral is "long non-coding RNA (PDAC_LNC011634)". The record is from RNAcentral. Lineage: Eukaryota; Viridiplantae; Streptophyta; Magnoliopsida; Arecales; Arecaceae.
ACAAUUGUAUAAACAUCAUACUUAAAAUCACAGAAAUUAAAUAUGAGAUAAAAGGAUAUUCAAUAAGAUCAAUUGGGUUCAUACAAUUCCAAGAAAAAUAAAAAAAUACAAAACCCGUGUCCCUUUAUUAGGGCUUCAUCCAGCCCUAGUGGGGAAUUUAAGCUUCCAUGCAGUGGUAGACGACAGCAGCAGCACAGCAGCAGGCUCCCAUUCCUUCCUUCUUUAUUUCUUCCUUUGAAAUAUUCCCAAAACACCCAAACUCCUCUCUCUCCUUUUAUUUCUUCUUCUUCCCGUGGGAACUUGUGGGAUUCCGCCUCUGAGAAGAUCUAAGAUCAAACCCAAGCUUGCUUCCCGAAGAGGAGAAAUCUCCUCCUUUUAUAGGAUUUGUCGACCCCUGUUAUCACGCCACGUCGUGGGAAGAUAAGGGCCAAAGAAGAUUUGAUCCGGUGUUGGGAAGAUAGACUGGAAACAAAUCUCGUUGAAGAAGUCGGCUGGGAGCGCAUGGGAUGAAUGGAAGAAAUCGUUGCUUCUUCAACGCAUAGAAGAAGAUCUUGGACAUGGUUGGAACGCGGAGGGAUUGAUCUUUAUCCGUGGAUGCUGGAAGCUGGACGUGGAAGAAUCAACGUGGAGGAGGACGUGGAGAGGAUCUCGGACGGCUGCUGGAAGCAAUCUGGGAAGAAGAGGAUCAAGUGGAUAGGCUGCUACUCUGUUCCUAAGGAAGAGGAUGCUGGGAGGAAGUUGCGAUGGAAUGGGUCUCGGCUUUGGGAUAAGGAUGAUCGGAAAUCUGGAAGACUUAUCUUGACUGGGAUCUAGCGAAAGAAGCUGAGGAUGCUGGGAGGAAGUUGGAUACGGUGGAUGCUAUGCAUUGGAUUCCUGAAGGAAGAACAGUCGACGCUCAUAGCUAGGAUGCUAAUCUGGAAGACGUUGGGAUGAAUCCGUGGAUAAGGGGAUCUUUGGAAUCAAACCGGAAGAGGAGGAUUGAGAUGUUGGUGGAUCACGGAAAGAAUGGGACUUUGAUACUUCGGUUUCGAAACAGAGGAAGCUUGUUUGGAUGCCGUGAAGCUCGGGAAGAUGAAGCUGUGGACAUGGAGCUGGGGAGAUGAACUCUGUUUUGAGGCUGGGAUGCUUAAUCUGCGGACAUGGGAUGGGUAGCUUGAUUCGGAGGAGGGAUAUGGAUGAAGAUAGAUCAACGUGGAUGUGAUUCCGAGGGAAGCUGGGUUGGUUUUAUCUUGGCUGAGAUCUAGCGGAGCAAGGGAUGCAACGUUGACGAUGCUCACGGAGGAGAAUAUCAUGGGAGAGACGUUGGGAGGAGCUGGAUCUUACGAACGGAAUGAAGGCUGGCUUGAUCCGCGAACGGAAGGAAGGAUAAGCUCCGAAGAUGGGAUUUGAGUUUAUCAUGCGAAGAUGGAACCAAUCCGAACGGACGCGAAGGAGGUGAGGAUUUGAGUUUAUCAUACGGAGGAUGGCUCUGUUUGAAAUGCUCACGGGAUGGGGAGAUGAGUUGGGAGCUUUGGAUGGGAAGGGAAGGAAUGACGUGGAAGAAACUCGGACGUGGAUCUGUGAUGAAGAAGUGAUGGGAAGAUGACACGGAUGCGAGGGGAAGUCUGGAUGUGAGUGUGGGGAGGAUGAGGAUGGGUUGGUUGAAGACGCUGGAUUUGGUGAAGGUUGGAUUUGAAAUGGGAUACGGGAGCUGGGAGUUUGAACAAGAUGUAAGGAGUGGAUGGAGCUUUGGGAUCCGUGCAACUACGAUGGUAUGCUUUAAGAUCUGAAAGACAAAUAAUUGAAAGGAUUUUAUUAUUUUUGAGAUUAAAAUAGGAAAAUUGGAUCAUGUAGAAAAAGAGUUAGAACGAGUGGGAAGAAAGUUAGGUGAACUUAUGAAGAGUCAGGAAUUAAUGGAAAGCACUGA